RNAcentral lists this ribosomal RNA (467 nucleotides) under uncultured bacterium. RNAcentral describes it as "partial 16S ribosomal RNA". It matches the Rfam family "Bacterial small subunit ribosomal RNA", at positions 29 to 507 of the family's 1533-position model. The record is from RNAcentral.
ACGUACGCUGGCGGCGUGCUUAACACAUGCAAGUCGAACGGAAAGGCCCUGCUUUUGUGGGGUGCUCGAGUGGCGAACGGGUGAGUAACACGUGAGUAACCUGCCCUUGACUUUGGGAUAACUUCAGGAAACUGGGGCUAAUACCGGAUAGGAGCUCCUGCUGCAUGGUGGGGGUUGGAAAGUUUCGGCGGUUGGGGAUGGACUCGCGGCUUAUCAGCUUGUUGGUUGGGUAGUGGCUUACCAAGGCUUUGACGGGUAGCCGGCCUGAGAGGGUGAACGGCCACAUUGGGACUGAGAUACGGCCCAGACUCCUACGGGAGGCAGCAGUGGGGAAUAUUGCACAAUGGGCGGAAGCCUGAUGCAGCAACGCCGCGUGCGGGAUGACGGCCUUCGGGUUGUAAACCGCUUUCGCCUGUGACGAAGCGUGAGUGACGGUAAUGGGUAAAGAAGCACCGGCUAACUACGUG